AGCAGCCGCGGUAAUUCCAGCUCCAAUAGCGUAUAUUAAAGUUGUUGCAGUUAAAAAGCUCGUAGUUGAAUUUCGGGGUCGGUAGAUCGGUCGUGCCACUGGUAUGUACUGGUCUCACUGGCUCCUCCUUCCUGAUGAACCGUAAUGCCAUUAAUUUGGUGUUGCGGGGAGACUGGACUGUUACUUUGAAAAAAUUAGAGUGUUUAAAGCAGGCUAACGCUUGAAUACAUUAGCAUGGAAUAAUGAAAUAGGACGGUGGUCCUGUUUUGUUGGUUUCUGAAUCACCGUAAUGAUUAAUAGGGAUAGUUGGGGGCAUUAGUAUUCAAUUGUCAGAGGUGAAAUUCUUGGAUUUAG
This 354-nucleotide ribosomal RNA is filed under the name uncultured Glomeraceae. RNAcentral describes it as "SSU rRNA". It matches the Rfam family "Eukaryotic small subunit ribosomal RNA", at positions 569 to 929 of the family's 1831-position model. Lineage: Eukaryota; Fungi; Glomeromycota; Glomeromycetes; Glomerales; Glomeraceae. The record is from RNAcentral.